GAGUUUGAUCUUGGCUCAGAUUGAACGCUGGCGGCAUGCCUAACACAUGCAAGUCGAACGGUAACGCGGGGGCAACCCUGGCGACGAGUGGCGGACGGGUGAGUAAUACGUAGGAAUCUGCCCAUUAGUGGGGGACAACCCGGCGAAAGCCGGGCUAAUACCGCAUACGCUCUACGGAGGAAAACGGGGGAUCGUAAGACCUCGUGCUAAUGGAUGAGCCUACGUCGGAUUAGCUAGUUGGUAGGGUAACGGCCUACCAAGGCGACGAUCCGUAGCUGGUCUGAGAGGACGAUCAGCCACACUGGGACUGAGACACGGCCCAGACUCCUACGGGAGGCAGCAGUGGGGAAUAUUGGACAAUGGGGGCAACCCUGAUCCAGCAAUGCCGCGUGUGUGAAGAAGGCCUGCGGGUUGUAAAGCACUUUCGGAGGGGAAGAAAAAAUCGGGGCUAAUACCCUCGGUCUUGACGUUACCCUUAGAAGAAGCACCGGCUAACUCCGUGCCAGCAGCCGCCGU
Molecule: ribosomal RNA, 516 nt
Filed under: uncultured Gammaproteobacteria bacterium
Lineage: Bacteria; Pseudomonadati; Pseudomonadota; Gammaproteobacteria
Description: bacterial SSU rRNA
Rfam family: Bacterial small subunit ribosomal RNA
Source: RNAcentral